GUUUACACCAUGUAGGGGAGCAGGUGCCUUAAAGUCUGGCUUCGCCCCCAAAAGAGCCUCUUCCAUCUUUUCCAGUAGAGCGAUGUCAUGUAUGUGAUGAGAAGAAAUGGUUUGACAUGCCGUCGUUUUUUCUCGUACUUGUGUUAUGCAUGCGUGCUGUUGUGGAAUGUUGAACAUUAAAGAAACGGGGUGCACUUUUAAUAUCAAGCCAUUUGAGGCAGUGCUAGCACUUGA
Molecule: long non-coding RNA, 234 nt
Organism: Mauremys reevesii (Reeves's turtle)
Lineage: Eukaryota; Metazoa; Chordata; Testudines; Geoemydidae
Exons: 2
Source: RefSeq, a predicted model, not a curated record